RNAcentral lists this transfer RNA (74 nucleotides) under Sutterella sp. CAG:351. RNAcentral's name for it is "transfer RNA-Cys(GCA)". It matches the Rfam family "tRNA". Rfam says of the family: Transfer RNA (tRNA) molecules are approximately 80 nucleotides in length. Their secondary structure includes four short double-helical elements and three loops (D, anti-codon, and T loops). RNAcentral also lists the same sequence under 7 other names. The record is from RNAcentral. Lineage: Bacteria; Pseudomonadati; Pseudomonadota; Betaproteobacteria; Burkholderiales; Sutterellaceae.
GGCGCGAUAGCAAAGUGGUUAUGCACCGGAUUGCAAAUCCGUUCACGGCAGUUCGAUUCUGCCUCGCGCCUCCA